AGUUCAUCUUCAACUUCUCCCAACAAUGGCCUGGAGUUUUCUGUGCAUGUGUCUGGCAUGUUUUCCUUUAGAUCUAGUCCUAGGUGUUCGAUAUGCUAUUGAGGACUGUGUAUUGUUAUUUCAUUUGUCACCUGUGCAUGGUGCUUUAAUCCUGUGCCCUAAACUCCCGCCUUGGCCAUGGCAGUGUUUCUGUGGACUCGCGGGGUUUCCGUGUGCACACGCGUGUCCUCUGUCUGACAGUGGCUUUGCUUCCCCUUGUCAGUCUGUGCCUCGGCUUCUCACUGCACUGGCGAGGUGAGCCGGCGCUUGCUUAUCUUAUUCCCAGUCUCGGUGAACAUGGGCUCGGUCUCUCCCGGCUCAGUGUUGGGUUUGCACUGGUGCACUUACAGGCGGAAGAGCUUCCUCAUUUGCUGAGGGCUUUUCCUGAAUCCGUGUUGGAUGUGGUCAGCUGCCUUUCCUGCAUCUAGUGAGAUGCUCAUGAGGUCACUUCCUUACCGCAUUACUGUAGUGAAUUACGCUGACUUUCAUAUGCCAAGAUGACCUGGCAUUUCCAGUGGUCUUUCUAUUUUCUCAUCAAAUUGAGACUUUGGGGAAACUACAGAGCAGCAAACCAGGAUAUAUCCUCUUAAAAACAGCUCGAGCUGGCCAGGCGCAGUGGCUCACGCCUGUAAUCCCAGCACUUUGGGAGGUGGAGGUGGGCAGAUCACGUGAGGUCAGGAGUUUGAGACCAGCCUGGCCAACAUGGUGAAACCCCAUCUUUACUAAAAAUAAAAAAUUAGCCAGGCAUGGUGGCAGGCACCUGUAAUCCCAGCUACUUGGGAGGCUGAGGCAGGAGAAUGGCUUGAACCUGGGAGGCAGAGGUUGCAGUGAGCCGAGAUCGCGCCAUUGCACUCCAGCCUGGGGGACAAGAGCAAGACUUCGCCUCAAAAAAAAAAAAAAAAACCCCAGCUUGAGCCAAGUGUGGGUGGCUCCCGCCUGGAAUCCCAGCACUUUGGGAGGCUGAGGUGGGCAGAUCACUUGAGGCCAGGAGUUUGAGACCAGCCUGGCCAACAUCACAAAAUCCCAUCUCUACUAAAAAUACAAAAAUUAACCAGGAGUGGUGGCAGCAUCUGCCUAUAAUCCGAGCUACUCGGGAGCCUAAGGCACAAGAAUCACUUGAAGCUGGGAGACAGAGUUUGCAGUGAGCCAAAAUCGUGCCACUGCUCUCCAGCAUGGAUGACAGAGCAAGACUCUGUCUCAAAAAAAAAAAGCUUGAAAAUUAAAAAAUAUCUCAAUAAUUAUGAGAUGCAGUGAUUUUUUUUUUACUUCCCUAAGCUGGGUUUCCAGGUAUCUCUAGGUUCAGCUCCUCCGGGGCUGGAAGUACAUGAAGGGCAGCAUUGCCCACCUUGACCAGAGCAGGCUUGGAGCAGGGCAGUGGAAGAGCUGGUCCCAGCUCAGCCCAGCCUGCUGGGUCAGCAUCCAUCUGAAAGGUCAUCUCUACCCAGGAACUUGGUGGCUUCCAGCUCCACCCUAACAGAAACCUCCCCAGCAUCUUGCCGAGUUGUAAUCCAGGGUGGUGGUAUAGACGGUCUUGGGGUAGCUGGUAUAGACGGUCUUGGGGUAGCUGGUAUAGACGGGCUUGGGGUAGCUGGUAUAGACGGGCUUGGGGUAGCUGGUAUAGACGGGCUUGGGGUGGCUGGUAGUGGUGCCGAGGAGGUGUGUGGGCUGGUGCUGCAGCUGGAAGCGCACCUCAGCCAUGGUGUUGUGCCAGGUGUGGUUGGGGAUGCAGGGGACCUUCUGGCCGCAGGAGGCCCCUGCCAGGCAUAGGCAGCUGCGCGGUGUGGAAGAAGUGCCGCUCGGAGUCGUGCUUGACAAGGAAGUACACCUUACUCCUCUCAGUGGUGAGGGGUCAAACCACUCCUUCCCAGCGAUGGGGCCAGCAGCCUGGCGAGGGCUAGGCACCGGGGAGGGAUGCUGGAUUUGGAGCUGGGGGGAAGGGGUCACCCUGCAUUGGGCUCCAGUGCUCCGGGUGCCAUGCCUGCUCCCCCACCACUGCCCCCGCUGCCGCCGCGGGACCCCAGGGGCUAGGGCUGAAGAGCAGCCUCGAGCCGGGCUGUCCAGGAUGCGGUCACCCUUCUUCCUCGUGUCUGUGAGCUCAGGCACAACCUGCAGCUUAGCCAGCCCACUAUGGCUGCGUGCGUGGCAGGGCCCGGGCCACCAUGGCUGCGUGCGUGGUAGGGCACAUGAUUAUUUUAGCCUCUGGUAUCACUAGCCACCCCUAAAGUCUCCAAUGGUCUGUUCCUGUCUUUCCCUCUGGUUCACUUGUGGGGUCAUGUUGUCUUCUGUUCUUUGUUAUUUCUUAUUUUUUUCUUGAGACGGAGUCUUGCUCUGUCGCCCAGGCUGGAGUGCGUUGGUGCGAUCUCGGCUCACUGCAACCUCUGCCUCCCAGGUUCAAGCGAUUCCCCUGCCUCAGCCUCCCAAGUAGCUGGGACUAUGGGCACCUGCCACCAUACCCAGCUAAUUUUUCUGUGUGUGUGUGUGUGUGUGUGUGUGUGGGUGUGUGUGUGUGUGUUUUGUUUUUUGUUUUUUUUUUUUUGAGAUGGAAUCUCACUCAAUUGCCCAGACUGCAGUGCAAUGGCGCAAUCUUGGCUCACUGCAACCUCCACCUCCUGGGUUCAAGAAAUUCUCCUGCCUCAGCCUCGCAAGUAGCUGGGAUUACAGGCCCCUACCACCACAGUGGGCUAAUUUUUGUAUUUUUAGUAGAGACAGGGUUUCACCAUGUUGGCCAGGCUGGUCUCGAACUCCUGACCUCAGGCAAUCCGCCCACCUCGGCCUCCCAAAGUGCUGGGAUUGUAGGCAUGAGCCACCAUGCUUGGCCUAAUUUUUCUAUUUUUAGUAGAGACAGGACUUCACCAUGUUGGCCAGGCUGGUCUCAAAUUCCUGACCUCAAGUGAUGUGCCCACCUCGGCUGCCCAAAGUGCUGGGAUUACAGGCGUGAGCUUCCGUGCCCGGCCUGAACUGUUAA
Long non-coding RNA from Gorilla gorilla gorilla (western lowland gorilla), 3004 nucleotides. RefSeq lists it as uncharacterized. The record is from RefSeq and is a predicted model, not a curated record. Lineage: Eukaryota; Metazoa; Chordata; Mammalia; Primates; Hominidae. The transcript has 2 exons.